RNAcentral lists this ribosomal RNA (757 nucleotides) under uncultured bacterium. RNAcentral's name for it is "bacterial SSU rRNA". It matches the Rfam family "Bacterial small subunit ribosomal RNA", at positions 636 to 1391 of the family's 1533-position model. The record is from RNAcentral.
CCAAUCUAGAGUNUCGGAGAGGAAAGUGGAAUUCCUAGUGUAGCGGUGAAAUGCGUAGAUAUUAGGAAGGACACCAGUGGCGAAGGCGACUUUCUGGACGAAAACUGACGCUGAGGCGCGAAAGCCAGGGGAGCGAACGGGAUUAGAUACCCCGGUAGUCCUGNCCGUAAACGAUGGGUACUAGGUGUAGGAGGUAUCGACCCNUUCUGUGCCGGAGUUAACGCAAUAAGUACCCCGCCUGGGGAGUACGACCGCAAGGUUGAAACUCAAAGGAAUUGACGGGGGCCCGCACAAGCGGUGGAGUAUGUGGUUUAAUUCGACGCAACGCGAAGAACCUUACCAGGUCUUGACAUUGAUGGACAGAACUAGAGAUAGUUCCUCUUCUUCGGAAGCCAGAAAACAGGUGGUGCACGGUUGUCGUCAGCUCGUGUCGUGAGAUGUUGGGUUAAGUCCCGCAACGAGCGCAACCCCUAUCUUAUGUUGCCAGCACUUCGGGUGGGAACUCAUGAGAGACUGCCGCAGACAAUGCGGAGGAAGGCGGGGAUGACGUCAAAUCAUCAUGCCCCUUAUGACCUGGGCUACACACGUACUACAAUGGGAAUUAAUAGACGGAAGCGAAACCGCGAGGUGGAGCAAACCCGAGAAACACUCUCUCAGUUCGGAUCGUAGGCUGCAACUCGCCUACGUGAAGUCGGAAUCGCUAGUAAUCGCAGGUCAGCAUACUGCGGUGAAUACGUUCCCGGGCCUUGUACACACC